Molecule: ribosomal RNA, 318 nt
Filed under: Escherichia coli
Lineage: Bacteria; Pseudomonadati; Pseudomonadota; Gammaproteobacteria; Enterobacterales; Enterobacteriaceae
Description: bacterial LSU rRNA
Rfam family: Bacterial large subunit ribosomal RNA
Source: RNAcentral
CUGGAGGACCGAACCGACUAAUGUUGAAAAAUNGCGGAUGACUUGUGGCUGGGGGUGAAAGGCCAAUCAAACCGGGAGAUAGCUGGUUCUCCCCGAAAGCUAUUUAGGUAGCGCCUCGUGAAUUCAUCUCCGGGGGUAGAGCACUGUUUCGGCAAGGGGGUCAUCCCGACUUACCAACCCGAUGCAAACUGCGAAUACCGGAGAAUGUUAUCACGGGAGACACACGGCGGGUGCUAACGUCCGUCGUGAAGAGGGAAACAACCCAGACCGCCAGCUAAGGUCCCAAAGUCAUGGUUAAGUGGGAAACGAUGUGGGAAG